CCUACGGGAGGCAGCAGUGAGGAAUAUUGGUCAAUGGGCGAGAGCCUGAACCAGCCAAGUCGCGUGAAGGAUGAAGGAUCUGUGGUUUGUAAACUUCUUUUAUAUGGGAAUAAAGUGAGGAACGUGUUCCUUUUUGUAUGUACCAUAUGAAUAAGCAUCGGCUAACUCCGUGCCAGCAGCCGCGGUAAUACGGAGGAUGCGAGCGUUAUCCGGAUUUAUUGGGUUUAAAGGGUGCGUAGGUGGUUAAUUAAGUCAGCGGUGAAAGUUUGUGGCUCAACCCUAAAAUUGGCGUUGAAACUGGCUGUCUUGAGUAGAGUUGAGGUAGGCGGAAUGCGUGGUGUAGCGGUGAAAUGCAUAGAUAUCACGCAGAACUCCGAUUGCGAAGGCAGCUUACUAAACUAUAACUGACACUGAAGCACGAAAGCGUGGGGAUCAAACAGGAUUAGAUACCCCUGUAGUC
Molecule: ribosomal RNA, 460 nt
Filed under: uncultured bacterium
Lineage: Bacteria
Description: partial 16S ribosomal RNA
Rfam family: Bacterial small subunit ribosomal RNA
Source: RNAcentral